GUUUUGGUACCGCCUCCAUUUUCCGGAAGUUAUAUUCACACUGCUGCUGCUACCGCCUGGACUUUGACACAUGUAGAAUAAGGAGGAGGUUUGUCUGUGAUCUGAAGUUUUAACCGAGUCACUGUCAGGUUUAUCCUCGUCUCUCGCUCUCUGGCUCAUCCGUCAUGGCGCAGGAAAAUCUGUCUUUAGUGCUGCACUCAAAGGGAGACCUCAGACUGGUAAGAGACCGGCACAGACUUUUAUAUUAUGUGGGGAACAAAAUAAGUUGUAGCUCGUAUGAAACCAUCUAAAUGCACAUUUUUUCCUUUUGAUUUUGUUCAUUUCUCAAAGGAAAAUCGCCCUGUCCCGGAGCCAGGACCUAAUGGUGCAGUAUGACAGUCUACUUUUACAAACAUUACAAAAUAACUUAUUAAAAUGUUGAAGAUGUGUGUCUCACUGCAAAACCAUCUCAAAGCUAGAGCAUGGUCAGGCUGUUCUGCUUCAACUUCAUGCAAUUUAUUUCAAUGAGCAUAUUUUUACCUCCAGAGAAAGUAUCUUUACUGAGCCAAAGCUGAGGUUUUGUUUUUAUGAUCAGGUUGCAAACAUUGCUUUUUGUCAUGUGUGUCCUGUUUUUUCUUUUUCCAGAGGUUUUGCUGCAGAUGCACUCUGUGGGAAUUUGUGGAUCAGACGUUCACUACUGGCAGCACGGACGGAUCGGGGAUUUUGUGGUUAAAAAACCUAUGGUGCUGGGCCAUGAGGCAUCAGGGCGGGUGGUGAAGGUUGGAGCUGCAGUCAAGCAUCUGAAAGUAGGUGAGUGGGCGAGGAGUGUGUAUGUGUGUGUGUCUGGAAGCUGUUAAAUACCGGAGACUAUAUGUCACACAGCAAAGGGAGAUUCAGAAACUUUUACAUCUUUUAUCAUCUCUUAUCUCUUUUACCUCGAUCUUAUUUCGGCCUUACUGUCUUUUUAGCUUUUGUUUUACUUGUACUCUUUUCUUAAUCAACCUUUCAGGUCUUUUAUCGUUUUAUCUCUUGCUCAUUUCUGUUGCUCUAUUUUAUCAUUACUUUUAUUAUCAGGAUUACCUGUUAUCAUUUAAUUACCAUUGUUGAUAUUGCCUUUUAUAUUUACUAUCCUGUUCUCGCUUUCGUCCUCCCUUUUAAUUGCAUUAUCCUUUUUUCUUAACUAUUUCAUGUUUUUAUUUUGGUCUUCAUGGUGUCAUUUUAUGUUGCAUGGUUCUUGUAUUGUCUGGGUUCCUAAUGACAUGAAAAUGGCCUUCAAUACCGUUUUAACUGAGCUUUUUGAUUUUAUUUGUCUUUUUCCAUGUGCUCCACAACUACAUGUCAACAUCUGUUUUUUAAAAGUGCUAUACAAAUAAAGUUAUUUAUAAUCUUUUUCUAAACUCUUGUCUUUUUAAAAGUUGUCAUUUCAACCAUUUGUGACCGAUUUCACUCCAUAUGAAUAAGUUUCCACUCAGCCUCACUGUAAUAGAGAUACUAUGACAAACUAACUCUGUGCUUUUUAAUCUCGCCUUGUGUCCUGAAGGUGACAGAGUUGCCAUCGAGCCUGGCGUUCCCCGUGAAAUGGACGAGUUCUUCAAAAAUGGACGAUACAACUUAUCUCCAACCAUCUUCUUCUGCGCCACUCCCCCUGAUGAUGGAAAUCUGUGCCGAUAUUACACCCACAGCGCCGACUUCUGCUACAAGUAAGUCUGUUCAGGAUUUCAUAGCCACGCUGCAAAAGAUUACUCCACCACUGCCUUAUAUCUCUCUCCAACUGACUCUUGCCUCACUUUUACAUCCUUCUCUUUCCCUCCUCUUUGUUCCUCUCAUUGUAACAAAUCAGGUUGCCUGACAAUGUGACAUUCGAAGAGGGAGCUCUAAUUGAACCUCUGUCCGUGGGGAUCCACGCCUGUCGCAGAGCAGGUGUGACCCUCGGCAGCAGUGUGCUCAUCUGUGGUGCAGGUGAGAACUAUUAAACCUGCAUUAAAUUUUUGCAUUGAGAAAGUACUGCAGACUGCCUUUCAGAGUAUGAUGCAAUCCGAUAUAAAGGAGGUGAUUGCAAUAUAUUUUAACGACAUGCCCCUGCAAGAAAGGAAUUUGGUUCAACACUCUGUGGGUGUAUUCACAAACCUGAGAAUCAUACUGACUCAACAAAAUCUGAGUGAGAAGCUGCUGAACCUGAACACACCUUGUUAGGGUCUUAAUAUUUAACAAACCCCCUCUGCUGUGAAAACAAGCUAAUAGGAAACAUUUGAGACGAUUCCAUGAAGCAACAACAGAUGAAACACUUGAGGUUUUCAAUUCGGAUAUAGCUGCAGGUUACACCUAUACUGCGGAUAUUAGUUAUGAAAUGUUAGUCUCUUUCGAGCGUUGAAUGUGUUCACUCAUGCUGUUAGAAAAGACUGUAUCUAUAAGUGUUACAUUAGCCAAUACUCAGCUGUCUCCUUUAUUCGUCCUCUCUCAACAGGACCGAUUGGGUUGGUUUGUUUGCUCAUAGCCAAAGCGAUGGGAGCGUCACAAGUUGUCAUCACUGGUAACUCGCAGAAAAUCCCUCUAAACUGAAAUGACCAUUGUCAAGAAACAGGUUCUUGUAGUUGUCCUUGUCAUUAUUAUUUUUAUUCACAAUAAUGUUUGUGAAACCUCAUACCUUGUAUUCAGAUCUGUCCUCAGAGCGCCUCGCAAUGGCCAAAGAGUUGGGGGCAGACUUCCAGCUGACAGUGACAAGAGGAGACGGACCCCAGCAGCUGGCUCAGAGUGUUGCAGACAUGCUGGGCGCUCAGCCUCACAUCACUAUUGAAUGCACUGGAGUCGAGAGCAGCAUGCAAACGGCCAUAUAUGUAUGUGAAUAUCCUUUAUAAAGAGCAUUAAAAGUUGUAUUCAAAACAAGUUAGCAUCAAUGCAUAAACUGGAGACAAUAGAGAAUUCAUUCAGGCACUAGACUUUUCUACAGUAUUUAUAGUUGAUCAGUAUGGUGCAGCUGUUAUUUAGCUGUAUGUCUUAAUCUUGAUUUAAAAAUCUGACAUAAAUCACAUGAUUUGAAAUCGUACUGUGUUUUUUUCUUCUUGUCAGGCAGUUCGUUCAGGUGGUGUGGUGGUGCUGGUGGGUCUGGGUGCAGAGAUGGCCACUGUUCCGCUGGUUAAUGCAGCUAUCAGAGAAGUGGACAUCAGAGGGGUUUUCCGCUACUGCAACACGUAAGAAAUUCUCCCUUGCUUGCUCCUCUGGUGGUGUCAGCAGAUGUUCUGAGGCCGAUGAUAAGAUUAACUAAGCUUUUGGUUUGGUUUACAGAUACUAAUAAUUACACGAUAAACCUUCUAGUGAUUGUUUAGUAUCCCAAACAUCUGAAAUAUUUGUCUUUGUGUUGCAGUUGGCCAACUGCCAUAGCCAUGUUGGCUUCAGGUAAAGUGAACGUGAAGCCCCUUGUGACGCACCGUUUCCCUCUGGAACAAGCGGUUCAGGCCUUUGAGACCACCCGUCAGGGUGUCGGGAUAAAGGUUAUGUUAAAGUGUGACCAGAAUGACCAGAAACCCUGACCUGCUUCAGUGACAAAAACCUGAUCAACUGAGGACAACUCAGCAUGACAGACACAAACAUCCCACACACAAACACACACACAGGACUUUGACCUAGAGAAAGAUAACAGAUCUAGCUUAAAGGGACCAGCUAACAUCAACACUGUGAUAGUGUGUACUGUGCACUGCACGAAGGUCAGACGCUCUUUUAGCAUCAAAUGGUACAUGUAAUUAUAGAACACUGAACUCUAAAAGAAUAUUUAAAUGAUUUGAACACGAUUUUAUAUCAUUACAUAAUUUCUAAAUUAUUGACCAUUUUAUAGGCAACUACUGUUAAAAAAAGAGAAUCCUCAGAAUAAAAUCAAAAUCAGAAAAUAUCAUGGACUCCUUUCUCUUCUUUGGUGUCUCAGAAAUGGCCACUAGGUGGUAUCAGAGAUUCGGAGAAAAUAGAUACAGUAGGUUUGUACAAACUGGUGGUGGAGUUAUACAGCAUGUACUCUACAUUGUUGGAUUUGAAAAUACCUUAAAGUUUAUGUUUAAGAACUUAAUUCUGACGUUUUUACAGAGAAAAAACAAACCAACUGGUGUUUCAAAAAUAUGUUGUAAAAUAUGUUUUUUAUAACUGCAAUAACUCAUAAAAAAAACUUUUCAGAAAAAGUGGACCUGAAGUCUAACAAUUGUGGUGUAUCACUGCACCAUUCGGCUCUGAAUUUAUUUUUACAUUAAUUUAAUUUUCAAGUCAUGUGUGUAAAGUCAUAAUAUGACAUCCAUCUUAUUAACAGUCUAUGUCCAAACCUUUGAUAAUGCAUUAAAGAGAAUGGGGGAUUUGUU
This 4316-nucleotide long non-coding RNA is filed under the name Xyrichtys novacula (pearly razorfish). The record is from RNAcentral. Lineage: Eukaryota; Metazoa; Chordata; Actinopteri; Labriformes; Labridae.